This 253-nucleotide ribosomal RNA is filed under the name uncultured bacterium. RNAcentral's name for it is "partial 16S ribosomal RNA". It matches the Rfam family "Bacterial small subunit ribosomal RNA", at positions 524 to 776 of the family's 1533-position model. The record is from RNAcentral.
UACGUAGGGUGCAAGCGUUAAUCGGAAUUACUGGGCGUAAAGCGUGCGCAGGCGGUGAUGUAAGACAGGUGUGAAAUCCCCGGGCUUAACCUGGGAACUGCAUUUGUGACUGCAUCGCUGGAGUGCGGCAGAGGGGGAUGGAAUUCCGCGUGUAGCAGUGAAAUGCGUAGAUAUGCGGAGGAACAUCGAUGGCGAAGGCAAUCCCCUGGGCCUGCACUGACGCUCAUGCACGAAAGCGUGGGGAGCAAACAGG